This 256-nucleotide long non-coding RNA is filed under the name Nicotiana benthamiana. Its description in RNAcentral is "long non-coding RNA (NBEN_LNC013584)". Lineage: Eukaryota; Viridiplantae; Streptophyta; Magnoliopsida; Solanales; Solanaceae. The record is from RNAcentral.
CCUGCUGUAACCAGUUCUGUUAUGUUUUUAUACUGGUUCCUUUCUUUCAAAACACCAUUAAAAUAAUUAUUAUUUGAGUCUCCCAAUUGAAUCCGUCUGGCUCUGGACUUCUGUUGUAGAGCACUCUCUUCUAUCAUUGACCAUUUUUCCAGCUUCAAUACCAUUUCCUUUUCUUUAGUCUGCAAAUCAUCAGUAUAGUGCAGCCUCAUGUGGUUCUGAAUGUCCUUCAACUCCUCCAUGCUAGACUCAAUUUUCU